This 5188-nucleotide long non-coding RNA is filed under the name Salmo salar (Atlantic salmon). RNAcentral's name for it is "lncRNA (ENSSSAG00000105930.1)". Lineage: Eukaryota; Metazoa; Chordata; Actinopteri; Salmoniformes; Salmonidae. The record is from RNAcentral.
GAAAAGUCUUGCAUCUCACUCAUCGCAAUAUCUGCGGCGCUGCUCGUGGCAACGUCAUUUCGCUGGGUGUACCUUUAACAUAUUGUAACGAAACAGCAGGGAGCAAGUCUCGAACCCUCAACCUUCUAGCCCGAAGUCCAGCGCGCUAUCGACUGUGCCCCAAAAGCAUGCUCGAGUGGCGGAGUCGAUACCCGGGGUUAUAAACCCAGGGUCGUUACAAUAUUACCAGUGUCCAGGUAUGGCAUCUCUCCUGGACCAGGCUAGCCUGAUAAAGACAGCUGCUAUAGAGAAGGUGGUGGCCCCCAUCGCAGUCCACCUGGUCCACUUGGUCCUGCUGUGUGAGAGGGCAGAGGGGCUGGAGGGACCAGAGCAGUUCACCCAGCUAGAGGGAGAAGCACAGGCUGUGGCCAGAGCCACCAAGAACAUGGCCAUCGUUGCCUACAGACGUUCAGAAGCCACAGAUGAUGAGGUAAUGAGGACAGAGAUGUCAUCCCUAGUGGAGCCGAUGACUGUGUCUGGACAGCAUGUCCUCCUGGCAGCCCAGAAACUCAGUAUCCAGCCCAGCCUUGCCGAGCACAGAGAGGAGCUUAUCACUGCAACACAGAAUGUUCUGCUAGGAGUGGUCAAAAUACUUUCAGUGGAAGAUGAUGCAACAGUGAGAAAGGUCGUAGUGGCUGCAGACUGGGUGUUGGACUGCCUAUCCUCUCUAGCUUCCUCCCUGGACAUCCUGUCUCUACUGAAGGCCUUCCAUCGGUUCACUGAGGCCCUGGUUCUCCUGAACAACCUGGUAGUGGAGCGGGCUGAAGCCCUGCAGGAUCCUAGGCAGACGGAGCACUUGCACAACUCUUUGGACUCCUUGAGGAAAUGCAUCUCUAUGCUUCACACGGCUAUGGUCACCACUAUCAAACACCCAACCAGUGAGCAGGCCCAAGUCGCCAAAACGUACAUUCUGGACAAGGUGAAAAGCACUGUGAAAGACAUUGUAACUACACUCGAGAGUGAUUGCCGUAGAGGUGGUGUUGCCUUAGGUCCGUGUGGGUAUUACAUUGACAGGCGUGAUGGUUUGAUAAGGCUCCUGGCCAGUUCUUCCUCCUCUUCCUCGAUCAGUAACGUUGACAGCCUCUUAAGAGAUCUUGUGUUCCACUGCAUGGUGGUGGCCAACUCCUCACAAAGGGAGCUUCAGCACUGUGUGGUGGAUCAUUGCCGACAUGUCCUACAUCUCUGGUCAGAAAUGUCCAGGCUUGUAAAGCUUCCAGAGAAUCCUGAUGAUGAUAACCUGAACCAGCAUUUACAGAGUAUCUGUUUUUCACUGAUGCAGCAAAUCCAGAAUCUUGACAGUGCUAUGAUGACUGCAGUUCUCUAUCAAGUUCUGGACACGUUUGUUACAGGGUCAAGUCCACUCGAAGAUCUGGUGAAUAUGGUUGGACAAGUCUUGGAGAAUGAUUCAGUUGAAGAGUUGCCGGUAGAUCCAGUUUCUAUCCAUGUAUUGCUCAUGGAUCUUCUCUCACAGGCUGAUAGGAUGAUUCAGGUUGCAAGUUUCAUCUCGGCUUUCGCCACGGAUUCUAAGAGUCUAGAAAAUGUGGAGAACUCAAGGGCAUGCCUCACUCGUCUGAAGGCUGAGAUCGAACCUCUCGCACUGGAGUUGGAUAAAGACGGAUCAGACUUGGAGAACUGCUUUGAGGCCGUGCAGAAACUCCAUGAUCUGUGUGAGAGAUGGGAAGAGGAGACCGGUCAGCUGCAGGAUGCUCUUUGUGACAUCAUCGAUGUUAGAGAAUUCACUAGCUUGGCAGUUCACGAGAUGGCUAACGACCAGUGUGGAUGCGACGCAGCGUAUAAAGCCCAGAACCACAAACUGUUCAGAAAGCAUGCUGAUGACCUUAUCUCCCACACAAAACAGGUGGCUCACUCUGUUAGAAGACACGUAGACAAGAGUGACAACCCCAUCUACCGCAAUGGGCUCCUAGUUCUGUUGAAACAGGUUGAAGCGUCACAGGCCAAAGUGGUCGGAUCUGUCAGAGACAUGUGCUCUGGUUCCAGUCUUGAUGUGAAUCUAUACUCUGUCUUUUCAGAUCACACAUUUGUGGUGAUCCAGCACUUUAGAGUGUUAAGAGAAGGGCUGGAUGGACAGCAACAUCCACACCUCCUCAGUCCACUGCGAGAGGAUGCACGCCAGAGCAUAGUCUCAUCCUCAGUCCAAGCAACCAAUCAGAUUCAAGGAUCAGCUAUGGAUCAGGAAAUAAGAGACCUUGGCCUUCAGUUUCCUGUUCUAGAUGUUUCAGAAAGGGAUUCACCAGUUGAAUGUAAAGUUGAGUUCUCAGAAAAAGAAAUUAGAGAGCCUAUGAUGGCAGACAAUGACUUCAAUGAUGAUUUAAAGUGGCCAGCUGUUUCAGGUGAAGCGAAUCCAAUCCCAAAGCCUCUUGAUUUCGACCUUUUGCCCCUCUUGUAUGAGGUUGUGACUGUGACUAAAGAAAAAGAUGUAACGGUCCUCAGCAAAGCCUGUACAGGAGUUCUCAAGCUUUCAAAUUGUUACGCUCAGGCUGCGAAAGAAGCUUCAACUAUUGUUGACGCUGUCGAUAGUCAGACAUUGGAUAUCUUCAGAUCAGAGUUAGUGGCCCUGACGCCUCAGUUAGUCCAGACAGCUCAGGAGACUGUGAUGAGCUUAGCUAUGAGCACGGACAGUCUCUACAAACACAGUUUACUGUUCUCUGACCUGAUCAACAACAUCAGGAAAGUCCUCUUACCAGCUGCUGGAACCUGGUACCACGCCGUUUAUUCACUGUUUCAAGGUCGUCCACGAAACAUGGCCGCCACUGCUAUUUCUCAGGAACUCAGCAAAGUCAUGAGUUUGUGUGCCGAUGUGGUGCAGCUGUUGACGUCGUCUGAUAUAACGCCACCAAGUGACUGUCAGGAGAGCUUUACAGUUUUGCACAGCAAGCUGAACAAAGCCCAUAACAACACAAGACAGCUGACAGAACUUGCUAGCUCAUCAACAUCAGGUCAGGCAGAUCAACUUGAGGGGCCUUGUAUUCUGUGGGCACUGUCAGUCCAAGUUUUACUGAAUUCUUUGGAUAAGAUUUUAGGAACAAGGGAAACGUUGAUGAGACAGUUGACCCCUCAGAAAGGGUUGGCAGCCAUGUCCGAGAACUCACUGCGAAUCCAAGAGGCAGCGAGACUGACUAGCGUGAAUUGUAAAAGCACCUACAAAGUGAAAACAUUGACACAACUUCAGGAGGAAUUAAAGGCUCUCACUGAGGAAUACUUACAGGUAGCUGAAGACCUCUGCAUUGUAUCUCUCUCAGGCGUCCUCCAGUUUGCCAGGUCAGAACUUCUACAAAGACAGCUUCUGAUUAAAAUGAGGGUGCUAUCCGGCCACUUGAACAAAGCAAAUAAGGACUAUGCCACCGCAAUUCAAAACGUCGUAAACAUUGCUUAUACGGCUUCCAAGCACCACAAAGAUGAUAAGACAUCCAAGGAGGCCCAAGAAACAUUUGAGACUGCUGCAGAGUUGCUUUUCGAGAACGCCAAAGCUGCUACCAAGAGCGUUGAAGACUGUUUCAACUACAUUCGCAACCCUCGUGCCCGGAUUAACCUGAGGUCCAUCAACGAUCAUCUGUCCUUCCAGAUCUCGGAUAUAGUGAGCCGAGCCAGGCUGGUAGUGGAGACCCACUGUAUCUUCGACACUCUCAGUCUGGAGAUACAGAUACAGUGCUGGUCGGCCAAGGCUCGCUUUUUAGCCGAGGAGAUCUAUAAAGUGGAUGGGCUAAGCCAGGAGGCUAAGGAACACGUCAAGGUUGGUCUGCAGGGUGGAACACCAGGAGAUUCCAAAGAAGGGAUGACUGAGAGCAAUCUUUCUCCUACUCUGAAGAAGCUUGAAUACCAACCAGACAUUGCACCCUGGCAGACAACCAAUCCAGAGAAUAUAAAUACCACAGAACAGAAUUCCAGUAUCUGUGGUGCAACGCCCAAAUAUGAACCUGCGAUGGCAACAAAACAAUAUGAUGCCCCAAGGUCUGCAUUCUUCAGAGACACCCUAUCCCUGACUUACACCCCUUCCCUCACCUACACCACAAUCACCCCAUCUCUUACCUACACCGCCUUGUUCCUCAAACAAGAGACAGACAGGUGGGACGCUCGGAGCAACCGUAUCGUUCAGGUUACCAGGGAGAUUGCAGACCAGAUCUACCACAUGGCCCAGUACCUGAGGAGGAAAGGGCCCAUACUGAGCAAAGAGAUGUUUGUCAGCACAGCAAAAGGCGUGGUCUCGAAUUGCCAAUACAUCACCCACUUUGUGAAGGUCAUAUCAAACCACUGUCUGGACAAACAGUGUACUGCUGAACUGUCUCUCAGAGUGGAACAGAUUCUCACCAUCACCAACCAACUCACUAUCAUCUCCAGUGUUAAUGCAUUGACCCCUGGAAGCAAGUCUUCAGAUGAGAUCCUUGUGAAGAAUGCCCAGAACCUGCUUCAGAUAGUUCUGCAUGGGGUCAGAGCAGCAGAGACAGCCUGCAUCAAGGGAUUGAAACAGCCGGAGCCCAACUCAGAUGGGGUGGAGGCAGCAGCGCUCUGUUUCCAGUGGAAGAGGAACCUACAAAUGCACCGAGCCCAGCAGAACUGUAACUCAGACACGGAUGAUCUUGGCCUGAGGAGAACCUCCCAGCACAGAGAAUCCCCCAGCCUGGCCCCUCCUAUACACAUACAAAAGCAGGGAUUCAAGUGAACGUGUCAAACCCCAUGGACUGGACACCAGGAACUACUUGUUGCUACCAUGUAAACAUAUGGAUCAUGUCCACGGGACACACAACUUUGGGGAAAUGUAAUGAAAUAAGUGUCAGCACUUUGUUCCUAUGACAACAGUUUUGUGACCACAUUUCAUAAAAUACUAGAUAUGUUAGCAAGCACAUGAUGUGCAAUGCAUUACACUUCACAUAAAUGUUUGGCUGUAAAGGCUAUUUUGAAAAUAAUACCAAAAAGUUUAAUAUCAAGAAAUGUGUAUUUGAAAUAUUUUGGACAUCAGAGCAAUCUUGAGGGAAUCGUAUUUGUGUCAGAAAAGGAUGUUCAUAUGAUAGGUAAGAUAUACAAAACCUUGCAGAGAGCCUAUCCAACUGACAAUCUCUGACAAAAAAUAUAUAAACUAUUGGAACCAAGACUUAAAAAUAACUGCUAUUGGUAUAAGAUUGAGGGAAUGUUG